CUGGAUUUAGGAACUGGCAUCCAGGAAUAUAAUAAAUUAUCAAAAAGCUGAAAUUCAGCACACACAUUUUACACAAUUCAUUUCACACUACAUUUUACAAAUCAUUUUAUGAUUGAAAAAUACAACUUAUUAAAUUAUUAAUUCGUUAAUUAAACACAGGCGAAUUUGACACAUACGCUUGAAAAUUUGCGCAAAAUAGGCAACGGUACAGUGAAAAAAGUUUUGGUGUUGCGCUUUUAAUUUUCGCCUGUCCACACUUGGGAACUCUUUUGAAGACGAGGUUUUGCUUCUCAGAAUUCGGCAGAGUGCAAAAAUGCCAAAAAUGUUUCCUGGCAAUUCAGAAAUAUCUUUCCCAAAAUAAUUGUUUUGUUGUGAAUGCAAUGAUUCUGGGUUUGUCCUAAAAGAUUUGUCCUUCUUUGAGAUUCGAGACAUGGCCAAAAAACGGUAUGUUUCCUGAUUUCCCCAGUCUAGGAAACAAUGUUUCUAGGUU
Non-coding RNA from Paramuricea clavata, 490 nucleotides. The record is from the annotation of a GenBank genome assembly. Lineage: Eukaryota; Metazoa; Cnidaria; Anthozoa; Malacalcyonacea; Plexauridae.